GUGUCAGCCGCCGCGGUAAUACGUAGGGGGCAAGCGUUGUCCGGAAUCAUUGGGCGUAAAGCGCGUGUAGGCGGUUACGUAAGUCUGCUGUGAAAGUCGGAGGCUCAACCUUCGAAAGCCGGUGGAUACUGCGUGACUAGAGUACGGAAGAGGAGAGUGGAAUUCCUGGUGUAGCGGUGAAAUGCGCAGAUAUCAGGAGGAACACCAACGGCGAAGGCAGCUCUCUGGGACGUUACUGACGCUGAGACGCGAAAGCGUGGGGAGCAAACAGGAUUAGAAACCCUGGUAGUCC
This 292-nucleotide ribosomal RNA is filed under the name uncultured bacterium. Its description in RNAcentral is "partial 16S ribosomal RNA". It matches the Rfam family "Bacterial small subunit ribosomal RNA", at positions 505 to 796 of the family's 1533-position model. The record is from RNAcentral.